This 435-nucleotide long non-coding RNA is filed under the name Crocodylus porosus (Australian saltwater crocodile). RNAcentral describes it as "lncRNA (ENSCPRG00005001268.1)". Lineage: Eukaryota; Metazoa; Chordata; Crocodylia; Crocodylidae. The record is from RNAcentral.
CUAGGAACCAGAGGCAAUGGAAUGAAUUACUCCUGAAGACACUCUAGGGACCAGUCCUAUAUUGAGGUUACCCAACAGGUCUUUCCCAUCUCUGACCCAUACAAUAGAGACUAGCCUAAAAUCAACUUGAGAAGAAUUUCUCAACACAAAGGGGAGAAGACAUUUUGAAAACAAUCAGAAAUAAUUUUUAUUUGAGGCUGCUCCUUGAAGUCUAGCCGCGGAGUACGUGGUGACGUUUUCCGAACUUCCAGUCUCAUGUCUCUCAUGGACAAACACAAAGUGAAGCGGCAACGUCUAGAUCGUAUAUUUGAAGAAAAGAGGCGAAGUACUUCCCCAAUGGAAAUAAUUGUUUGUCCAAAUUGGAAGCAAUGCAGUGCGAUAGAAUUGCGGUGUAAAGUUUUGUCUUACAUUUCUGAUAUCACAAGCCCUUCGUAA